Molecule: long non-coding RNA, 865 nt
Organism: Triticum dicoccoides
Lineage: Eukaryota; Viridiplantae; Streptophyta; Magnoliopsida; Poales; Poaceae
Exons: 3
Source: RefSeq, a predicted model, not a curated record
CAGGCAUCUCGAAUUGGACCGAGAUCCAGUGCGUCGACGUGCCCGCCGUAAUCAUCGCCCCCUGUUCUUGGCUCACACAGUUGCUCCGGGAAGGAGUUCGCAGCUGGCGUAUGUGCUCGGUUGCUGAAGGCUUGAAGUGGUGGUCGUAACCCAGUUAGUUGGGAGGACUCAAUGGCAGACUCGACAUGUUGACAUCUUCGGGUGUUCUUAAUGAAUUUGGACCAUGAAGUGGAGUCUGAUCAGUCAUUACGACAUCAACAGUGGCAGGGGCGGAAUUACUACUAUGGCGCGGGCCACCGGAGGUAGGGCAGCGCGCCGGGUCGAGGAUGGCCAUCGGGUCGACGACGGCGUGGAGAUCAGGGACGAGGACGACGGGGCGAGACGGAGGUUUCGUUCAGACGACACGGCCACCGGGUCAACGACGGCGUGGAGAUCAGGGGCGAGGCCGAGGUUUCGUUCAGACGGCACGGUCGCCGGGUUGAUGACGACGCGAAGACAAGGGGUGAGGAUGGCGGAGCAAGGCCGAGGUUCCGUUCAGAUGGCACGGCCACCGGGAUGAGGAUGUCGCGGACCCCAAGGGCGAGGCCAGGUUCAUGGCGUGGUGGCGGCGUUGAUUGUGGAUGUAUUGUUUAGUUUCUAGGAGGUGCCAUCGUUGGGUUGUGUAGCAUCCCGGACGAAGGAGUCUGCCGACAGAACAUUUGUUUUCACCGUCGAUCUGAUUGUAGUAUGGUGAUGUAAUGUGGGCAGUUGGAUGGUAUUACGUGGGUCUGAUCGAACAUGGAGGGUUAUUCCGUGUGCACUUUGUGGUGUGGCUUUAGGGGAAUUCUUGUUUGCUCUUUUAAUAGUAGUAUAGAUGUUUUGUUAA